CUCCAUCCUUCCCGACUCCUCUGUAGAUCUCGAUCGGCUUCUUCCAUCUCCUUUGUCAGCCCCGACUCCCCUGGUCUCACUGUUUCCAGAUCCCCAACCCUCCCCAUCCAUGGCCGCCGCAACCUCCCCAUCCAUGGCCAUCUUCUAGGGGAAGAUCCCGCAACCGCUACGACGAUAGCCUCAUUCCCGGAGGCGGGGACGCCCCUGAAGGAGAACCUAGUGCACGCGACGCCGGUGCUGUUAUUGCGGGUCGGGCGGCGGUCAGAUCCACCAUGGAAACAACCGGCAUCCUCUCCCUCUCUAUCCAUCUUUCUCCCAUGACUGAGAAGAUGGCUUCGUCAAGGAUCCCAUCAUGGAGGUCAACGUGGGAGGCUGCUUCCUCCCCUUCCAGAUUGACCAUCCAUCGAUGGAGGCUAUGAGAGCUGAGUGAGCACACACAUGGUUGCGCUUCAAGCUGCAGCUCAAUAGAUGCAGGGACGCCGCAAUGGAGCAAGUAAGGCCUCCCUUCUCCCACUAUUUCUGCAGAUCCGCCACGGCCAGCCAUAUCCGGCGCCCCUGCACCACCGUGGUGAGGUGGAAGAAAUCUCUUGAGGCCAAACCGUAGGGAGGACGACGGCCAACAAUCGGUACAUGUUCUCAAGGUCCCAUGGAACUGGGUACUGGUGCGGCUGUGUGCUCGUGAUCCCCAUCCAAUGUUGCGCAUCCAAGGCAACGUUGCACUGGUCCUUGGGAGCAUAGGUUGAGGCGAUACGGUGACUUCCUUUGAUGAUGUCGGCGGGGAUGGCUGGAUCUGUGUCUAGGAAGGCAUGGGAAUGACCCCCGGUUGCUGUCUAUUGAGCGUUCGGAGGCAGUGGCUGCAAAGUAGCAUAGGGUGUUCUCUAGCACUUGUUUGGCACUUGUUUGUAGAUUGAAGUUUCUUGUGUUUUUGCUCCUGCAUAUGGUAUCGUCUGGAUAUGUCUGUAAUU
Molecule: long non-coding RNA, 965 nt
Organism: Aegilops tauschii subsp. strangulata
Lineage: Eukaryota; Viridiplantae; Streptophyta; Magnoliopsida; Poales; Poaceae
Source: RefSeq, a predicted model, not a curated record